UUCCUUCAGACUCCUUGGGGCAGCAGCCCACUGGGCUACACCCGGGAAGGCAGGAUGGAGCCUCUAAGAGUCACCCAAACGUUUCAGCCCCAGGCCUGCUGGCCCUGGCUGGUGGGCCUUCCCGCCUCACAGCUGCCCUCCCCCGAAGACACCGCAAAGGUGUGAAAAAGUCCAGCAUGAACUCAGACAGGACACAGACCAGGACCAGAGCCUCAUGUAGACAGAGCUGCUGCAGAAGGAGCAAUGAGCAUGCCUGCACCCUUGAGAGACCUGAGGAGGAUGAAGGAAAAUACGGACAACUUGAAUCCAUGACAGUCUUCAGUCUAGGAUCAAGGCCUCCUCACAAAAGCCAUCUCCUUGUAGCUGAGAACUCAACAGACUGUCUGGAAUCAGUUGCGGCAUCACAGUCCUGUAACACCAGAACUCCCAGGCAGAGAUGGAUGUCUGCAAGUGCCAAGUGGCUUGGUCUACACAGGUUCCUAAGGUUUCUCAAAGACUGAAUCUAUCUCUGCUUUUGACUCCCAUGGGAGAUGACAGAGCUGAAUUUGUGUGCAGUGAUCAGCUGGGCUAUACAGACACUGCUCAUCCAGAAACAUGGCUCCUUGGACAUCAACCUAGUAUGGAGGGAAGGAAAAUGAUGAAAGGAAUGCAUCCAGUUGACACGUGAUAGAGCAGGGCCUCAGGUCCCAAGGCUGCAAUCCUGAAUCCAUAGUGAUCCCUCCACGCUGUGAACCCAGCUCUCCGACCUAGGUCCGGCUGGUUCCAGGUGUGUCCCAGGACAUUAUCAUGGGAAUCCCAAUAAAGAUCAAAAUUGAGCUCCUCAAGAUGUUGCACAAGGCCAGCAGGGACCCAACAACAGGACGACCCUGGUUUCAACACAAACGUAUUCCAUAUGGCCUUUGUCACAUAGCUCACUGCAGGAGGGCAGCAUUCCUGACCUUGUCCUCCUGUCCUUCUGGUGCUGAGAAGAAUGAGUCUUUGUCCCUUAGACAGAUGCCUGCAGGAACUUGCGGGUUCCACAGUAAGACAGGACCAAUGUCCUCAGCAGGAACUCCCUGGAUGGGGAACUUGGAGUCCAUUGCUACCUGCACUGAGAGGCCUCAACAGCGCUGUGUGGGCUCCUCAGCAGACAUUCUUCCUCACUCUGUUUCUAUGGAGGAUCCCAAGGUGUGCCUACACCUGCCUGUGAGACAGGUCUAGACUACAGAGGCCAGGACACAGUCCUGGUUUCCCAUUGCUCAGUUAUGUUGAACUCUCCACUGAUGUAGUCAUGGAAAUACAUUGCUGUUAUUUCUUUACUCAA
RNAcentral lists this long non-coding RNA (1303 nucleotides) under Mus musculus (house mouse). RNAcentral's name for it is "sarcolemma associated protein, opposite strand transcript 2". The record is from RNAcentral. Lineage: Eukaryota; Metazoa; Chordata; Mammalia; Rodentia; Muridae.